RNAcentral lists this ribosomal RNA (460 nucleotides) under uncultured bacterium. RNAcentral's name for it is "partial 16S ribosomal RNA". It matches the Rfam family "Bacterial small subunit ribosomal RNA", at positions 338 to 795 of the family's 1533-position model. The record is from RNAcentral.
CCUACGGGAGGCAGCAGUGAGGAAUAUUGGUCAAUGGACGAGAGUCUGAACCAGCCAAGUAGCGUGAGGGAUGACUGCCCUAUGGGUUGUAAACUUCUUUUAUAAGGGAAUAAAACGAGGCACGUGUGCCUUUUUGCAUGUACUUUAUGAAUAAAGAUCGGGUAACUCCGUGCCAGCAGCCGCGGUUAUAAGGAGGAUCCGAGCGUUAUCCGGAUUUAUUGGGUUUAAAGGGAGCGGAGAGGGGUUGUUAAGUCAGGCGUGAAAGUUUGCGGCUCAAACGUAAACUUGCAAUUGAUACUGGCAGCCUUGAGUACAGUGGAGGUAGGCGGAAUUCGUGGUGUAGCGGUGAAAUGCUUAGAUAUCACGAAGAACCCCGAUUGCGAAGGCAGCUUACUAAACUGUGACUGACACUGAUGCACGAAAGUGUGGGUAUCAAACAGGAUUAGAUACCCUGGUAGUC